This 253-nucleotide ribosomal RNA is filed under the name uncultured bacterium. RNAcentral describes it as "partial 16S ribosomal RNA". It matches the Rfam family "Bacterial small subunit ribosomal RNA", at positions 524 to 776 of the family's 1533-position model. The record is from RNAcentral.
UACGUAGGUGGCAAGCGUUGUCCGGAAUUAUUGGGCGUAAAGCGCGCGCAGGCGGUCCUUUAAGUCUGAUGUGAAAGCCCACGGCUCAACCGUGGAGGGUCAUUGGAAACUGGGGGACUUGAGUGCAGAAGAGGAGAGUGGAAUUCCACGUGUAGCGGUGAAAUGCGUAGAGAUGUGGAGGAACACCAGUGGCGAAGGCGACUCUCUGGACCGGUACUGACGCUGAGGCGCGAAAGCGUGGGGAGCAAACGGG